GUCCUUGUCCCCAAAGCCCACGGGGGAUGGGACAUCCUUGUCCCCAAAGUCCUUGUCCCCAAACCCGUGACAGAUGGGACUUCCUUGUCCCCAAAGCCCAUGGGGGAUGGCACGUCCUUGUCCCCAAAGUCCUUGUCCCCAAUGUCCUUGUCCCCAAAGGCCUUAGGGGGUGGGACAUCCUUGUCCCCAACAUCCUUGUCCCCAAAGCCCGUGACAGAUGGGACUUCCUUGUCCCCAAUGUCGUUGUCCCCAAAGCCCAUGGGGGAUGGGACGUCCUUGUCCCCAAAGCCGAUAGGGGAUGGGACUUCCUUCUCCCCAACAUCCUUGCCCCCAAUGCCAUUAGGGGAUGGGACAUCCUUGUCCCCAACAUCCUUGUCCCCAAAGACCUUGUCCCCAAAGCCCAGAGGGGAUGGAACACCCUUGUCCCCAAAGUCCUUGUCCCCAAAGCCUGUGACAGAUGGGACAUCCUUGUCCCCAGCAUCCUUGUCCCCAAAGCCAAUAGGGGAUGGGACUUCCUUGUCCCCAAAGUCCUUGUCCCCAAUGUCCUUGUCCCCAAUGCCCAUGAGAUAUGGGACGUCCUUGUCCCCAAAGUCCAUGGGGGAUGGGACAUCCUUGUCCCCAAAGUCCUUGUCCCCAAAGCCCAUGGGGGAUGGGACACCCUUCUCUCCAAUGUCCUUGUCCCCAAUAUCCUUGUCCCCAAUGCCAUUAGGGGAUGGGACAUCCUUGUCCCCAGUGUCCUUGUCCCCAAAGCCCACUGGGGACGGGACAUCCCUGUCCCCACCACCCUCGCCCCCAAAGUCCUCAUCCCCCAUGGUUGGGACAGGCUUUUCCUUGGUGUCCUCGUCCUUAGGGGUUGUGACAUCCUUGUCCCCAAUGUCCCUUACGGUUGGGAUGUCCCCAAUGUCCCUUACGGUUGGGAUGUCCCCAAUGUCCCUUACGGUUGGGAUGUCCCCAAUGUCCUCGUCUCCAGCAGCCAAGACACCCCCAUUCCCACUGCCCUUCUCCAUACUGGGAACGGGGACAUCCCAAACUUCGUCCCUUGGGGUGGUGGCAUUCCCGUCCCCAAAGCCCUUGUCCCCAUCAUCCCAUACACCUAUGACAUCCCUGUCCCCGUCACCCUCAUCCUCGUGGACCGGGACAUCCUUGUCCCCAUAGAUGGAGACAUCCCUGCCCCCCAUAUCCCCCGGGGUUGGGACAUCCCUGUCCCCAACACCCCUUGGUGUCACCACCUCUGUCACCUCAGUGUCCUUUAGGGCUGUGACAUCAAUGCCAUCCCCGUCCCCAAAACCCUUCAGGGUUGGGACAUCUCUGUCACGUGGAACGGGGACGUCCCCGCGCCCCACAUCCGCACCCCCAAUGUCCUCAGCGGUGUCCCCAAUGUCCCCAACGUCCUCGGUGUCCCCAAUGUCCCAAAUGUCCUCGAUGUCCUCAUCCGCCGGUGCCACCGUCACAGUGAUGGUGAUGCCGCUGGCCCAAGGAGUGACGGUGACCUCGGGGACAUCGACGUCCCCUUUGGGGACACCGCUGUCCCCCUCUGUCACCUCCCCAGGGAGGGGAC
RNAcentral lists this long non-coding RNA (1558 nucleotides) under Gallus gallus (chicken). Its description in RNAcentral is "lncRNA (ENSGALG00010000379.1)". Lineage: Eukaryota; Metazoa; Chordata; Aves; Galliformes; Phasianidae. The record is from RNAcentral.